CAAUUAAUCUCAAUCAAACUGCAGUUCGGUUAUUUUGAUUACGUAAAAAAUAACUAAUAAAUACUAGCUAAUUAACACAAUAAAACAUAACAAAACAAAAAAAAAAACAUGAUUUUAGAAGAUUUUUUAAAACGGAGUUAUCUGUUUUUGCAAAUAAACACACAAACAUAUUGUGUGUCAUAUUUCAGUUCAAUUCUUAUCAAAUAGUGUCAGUGCAGACAAGUCAAUAAUAUUGCUGAAUAUUAGGUGUCUUCAACUAAGCAAGACAAAAGGCAACAGUGACAAGGAACCCAAACAAGACCCGGCUCAGUCAGAAAACAGUCUCCUCUGGCCAAACAAAUGAACAUGGUGUGAUUAUUCCAGGCUGCAUCACAAGUCAGAUUGUGGAUUGAUAUCAUUCAGAAUAUUUCAUCCAACUUCUUCUGCUUGAAGAAACAUCACACUAGCAGGUGAAGCUGGUAAAAAGGGUCUGUGCAGAGGGCUUGUCUGGUUCUCGUAGUCUUUGCUGAGGAUCUGUGCUGGGGCCAUCUUCACAGGGGAUCUGUCAUCUAGCUGACAUGGUCUCCGCUGACAGUCAGGGAUGUGUUGUGGUUGCUCCUGGGUGCAGGUCCACCGUCUGGUCUGGAUACCAACUGGAUCAGCUGAUUACUGUAACCUAGGGAUAAGGGUGAGACAGUAUAUAAGUGACUAAUACAAGCAUUGAUGUUGUUCUUCUUACAAAUUAACAAGUACAUUAGAUAUUAUGGGAUGUGUUGCCAAGUGUUGCUGCUUACACUAAUUGGUGCAGCAUAAAGAUACUUUAAGGGAUUUGAAUUAUAGAAAUGUGAUAGUGUGUCAUGUUAAAGAGGUUAUGUUAAGGAAGGUUAAAGAGAUGGGACAUUUAAAUUCACAGAGUGUGUCUGCCUCCUGAAGUCCACCCUUUUGAUCUGCCAGCUAGAGCCACCUCUUCAUAGUCCCCUUGACCUCCAUUUCAGCAGCAUUAGCUUGAAAGUUUUUCCAAAUUACAGCCUUGAAAUAUAUGUAUAAAUAUAUAUUGUAAGGUAUAAUUAUUCAAUCUUAAGCAUUAGUUUUUUUCACAAUCAUUAGGACCAGACAAGUAAAGUAUGAUUUUAAUCACAUAUCACAAUUAAUCGGCAUAUAUACGCUUCAAAAGUUCUCAUUCACGUUAAAAACUGAACCUGCUCUAGUGCAGCACACAGAUUAGGCCUCCAUUCAAGAACAAAAGAUGAUACACUUACAUUUUACGGCUUUCUCUUACGUAUCUAUAGUAAGUAAGUAAGUAAGUAAGUAAUAUUUAUUUCUAUAGCACCUUUCAACCGCAAGUGUCACAAAGUGCUGUACAACAAAAAUAUACAAUGAAGAACAAAAUUAGACAAAAGUAAGUUUGAACAAGUGAGUUUUCAGCUGCUUUUUAAAAAUGUCCACCGAGUCCACAGAUCUCAGUUCCAGAGGAAGAGCAUUCCACAACUUGGGAGCAACUACUUCAAAUGCACAGUCUCUUUUUGUCUUCAAUCUAGACCGUAACAACUAGCAGGAUCUGAUUUGAGGAUCUCAGAUUCCUACUAGAGUUAUAGGGUUUCAACAUCUUAUUUAUAUACACAGGGUCUUGACCAUGCAACGCUCUAAACACCAUGACAAGAAUUUUAAAAUUAAUUCUAAAUUCGACAGGGAGCCAAUGUAAAGAAAUUAAAAUUGGGGUUACGUGAGAUCUCUUUGAUGACUUAGUUAAAAGCUUAGCAGCAGAAUUUUGAACCACUUGUAAACGUUUGAGUGUUGAAUUACUAAGACAGGUAAAAAGAGAGUUGCAGUAAUCAGGGCGGGAGGAAAUAAAAGCAUGUAUAAUCAUUUCCAACUCCACUAUAGACACAACUGGCCUCAAUUUUGCAAUGUUUCUCAACUGAUAAAAACAAUUUCGAACCAAAUAAUUCACAUGUUGAUCAAGACUGAAGGCUUGCCCCAUAUGAACACCUAAAUUACAAAGGGUAGAUUUAACAGAAUGUGAUAAAGAACCAAGACUUUCCAUCACUUUUGGAAGAACACCAACAGGAGCUGAGAUAAGUACUUCAGUUUUUUCAGGAUUUAACUGUAAAUAAUUAUUUGUCUUCCAGACUUUAAUAGAAUUUAUACAAUUUAAAAGAGUAGACAAUUUUGUAAUUUUGUAAAUUUAAAUAUAUAGUUGAAUAUCAUCUGCAUAGCAAUGAUAGUGAAUGCUUUCAAAACUACUUAUCAGUUUCCCCAGAGGCAGCAAAUACAAAGCAAAAAGCAAUGGGGCCAAAACAGAACCCUGGGGAACACCACAGGACUGUAGAUGAAGUGUAAUUUUGAACUCUUACUGAGAAAGACCGGUCUGAUAAGUAUGAUGAAAGCCAACUCAAGGCUGUACCCGAGAAACCAACCUCCUGUCUAAGCCUCUCAACUAAUAUACAGUGAUCAACUGUAUCAAAAGCAGCAGUGAGAUCCAGUAAAACCAGUAAAGAACAUUUUCCUGCAUAGCCUUGCAUUAACAAAUCAUUUAAAACUCUAAGAAGAGCAGUUUCAGUUGAGUGCAUACGACGAAAACCUGAUUGGAAUUUAUCAAACACAUUAUAACCAUCUAAAACAGCUGAAAGCUGAUUUACCACAACUUUUUCCAGGACCUUAGCCAUAAAAGAUAACUUAGAAAUAGGUCUAUAAUUUUGGGGUAAGGAUGGAUCAAGAUUUAUUUUCUUUAGAAUAGGUUGAACCACAGCUUGUUUAAAAUAACCUGGAACUUGACCAGAUGUUAAUAAAUUAUUAAUUAUAGAUAACACACAAGGACCAAUCGUGUCAAUAACAUUUUUAAACAAGACAGUGGGUACCACAUCCAGAGGACAAGAAGAACUUUUCAUAGAACUAACUACCUUAGUAAGAUCAUCAAUUGUUAUCAGAGGAAACUUCUUCAGGGUUACUGGCCUGGAGACAUGAGGUAUUUGAAGUGAAGCAGAAGGUAUAAUAUUAUUUCGUAUAUUUUUUAUCUUAUCCACAAAAAAAAUGGAGAAAAUUAUUGCACUCUUCAACUGAAGAGAUUCGAGAUGCCGGCGAUGGAGGCGAAACAAUGUUAUGUAUAGUGUCAAAUAAAAUUUUGGGAUUAUGUCUGCUGCUAGAUAUUAAAUUAGAAAAAUACUUAAUUCUGGCAUCCUUAACCUUGUUAUUAAAAUCCAUUAAAAGUUAUUUUAAAUGCUGAUAGUGAACUACUAGUCGAGUAGAUUUCCACAGACGCUCAGUUUUACGACAAAUACGUUUAAAGGAGCAAAUACUAUCAUUGAUCCAGGGAGUGGAAUUUGGCAGACGAGCUGCUCUGGACUUCACAGGAGCAACUUCAUCCAAGACUAAAAGGCAAUGCUCAUUAAAAGAUUGUAUUUGAACAUCAACUCUACCAUUUGACAAAUUAAUGGACGAAUUAUCAAAAGCAGCAGAGAAUUUCUCUGCAGAAAGGUUAUUCAGGAUGCGAGAAUCAAUUUCUCGACUACAAAACGGUGCAUCUAAAUUACAAAAUAAGUCAAAUGAGAUGCAAUUAUGAUCUGAAAUAAAAAUAUCUUCAGACAAAACAGAACCAAUAUUUAAACCAUAACUGAAAACAAGAUCUAAAGUAUGCCUUCUAAUAUGAGUAGGACCGGUAACAUGUUGGAUAAGAUUAAAAGACAACUGCAAAUUUAUCAGAAACAUCAUCAAUAUGAAUGUUGAAGUCACCAACGAUCACAAUUUUAGUAAGCUUAAGAAUAGAUGACAAAAAAAAUCACUAAAAUCAUCUAGGAAGGAGCAGUUUGGGCCAGGAGGACGAUAAAUUAGAAUACAAUAAAAGUGAUCUGUACGCCCAACUUGAAUCACUUGCACUUCAAAAGAGAAAAAAAGACCCAACAUUUACCAUCCGAGAAAAAAAAAACAGUUUCUGAACACAGCAGCAACCCAGUCAGCAAACAAAUUUGGCCCAGAUUUGGCAUGCAUCAGAGAUGGUACCGGGUUUAAGACGGCACACAAGACAUGGGCCAGAUGUCAAAUGCAGUAUUUGGCCCAGAUGUCAAAUACAGAUAUGUGGGCCACAUAAGUAUUGCCGAUCUUGACCCACAUUUAAAAUCCAUUUCAAAUAUUUUUGAGUAAAAUGCCAAUGUUUUCCCAUACAGAAAGGUAAUAUAUUCACAUAUAUGUGAAACACUUUUAAAAAUAUUUUGAAAAUAUAUAUUUUAAAAUGCAUAACAUAAAGCUCAUGUUGUGAGCUAUUAUGUGUUUACUUGUAUGCAAAAUUAUAUUCAUGCCUCAUAUGAUAUUAUAUAUGAUAUUAUAUAGCAUAUUAUAGAAUAGUAUAUUCUGUUUAUAUAUAUAUAUAUAUAUAUUCAUCCGGCACUGGCAUACAGCAUGUGGGCCAAACAUGGCCCGGGUUUGGCAGAGGUGGUACUGGCCGGGUUUAAGACGGCACACAAGACAUAUGGGCCAGAUAUCAAAUGUAGAUAUGUGGGCCACAUAAGUAUUGCCGAUCUUGACCCACAUUUAAAAUCCAUUUCAAAUAUUUUUGACUAAAAUCCCAAAGUUUUCCCAUAUAGAAAGGUAAUAUAUUCACAUAUAUGUGAAACACUGUUAAAUAUAUUGAAAUACAUUUUGAAAAUAUAUUUUUAAAAUGCAUAACAUAAAGCUCAUAUUGUGUGUUUAAUUGUGUUUACAUGUGAAACGAUAUUCAUGCCUCAUAUGGUAUUAUAUGAUAUUAUAUGUUAUAUUAUAGAAUAGUUUAUCCUGUUGUUUUAUGUAUAUACAACUAACUUCAAACAAUGUUUUGCAUUCACUGCUUUCAUAUUCUCAUUCAAUUUACAGUUUGAUGUAGGCCUACUAAACAAUACAUGAUGAAGUUUCAGGACAUUUUAUUUGACUUUUAUGUACUAUUUAUGUAAAUGCGUAACAUUGAUGUGUUUUAGGCCAUGCUGGCCAAUCAGAAGCCUGAAAAAGUUUCCAGUAGGCGGAGAUAACAGCGCAGGCUCCGACGUCACAAGCCAAAAACUCUGGCUUUGCUGUCUACACGAUAACACUGCAACCAGAGUUUUUUAAAAUCUUCACCCUGGCAGGAGUUUUCAAAAUAUUCGGUUUCAGAAAUACUGCUGUUUUGAAAAUAACCGCGUUCGUGUGGACGGCCAAUGGGCGCGCGCGUUGAGCAUUCAAAUCACAUUUAAACUGAAGCGGAGGAGGUUACCAUGGUAACAGGGCAUCAACUCACUCAGCUGACAAGUAGCCAGAGGCUGUCUCUCUGCUGUUUUCACUGCUUUCAGGUAAGUUUAGUCCCUAAAGUUACACAAAUAAUACAUACAACCGUUCCUGACACUUUCUUACAUGUAACUGACAUGUUUCUGUUGAAUCUUUACUUUACAGGAGUGGUUUAGUGUCUUCAAAAAGACCGUUACCAUCACAACCGUUAACUAUAGAGGCUAACAAUUAGAGGAGCGUCAGAAAAAAAUACCUAAAACAAGGGAAGUUACAAGAACAUUUGUAAUGAGAGCUGCUGACAGAUACAGGAAACACAGAGCUAGAGCUGGAGCGGAGCGGAUCUCCUGUCGAAGAACAUCUCCAAAGCGCCAUGAACCAUCUGACUAGGCAGUUCGUGAAGACCGAUAACCUGGACAGAAGUCAGUUUGAGAUCCAGCCUCCACACCAGACUUCUCAUUCACAAGGAUUGCUGUCUACUAGAUAUUAUGUAUACUCUUCAGACUUUGUUCAUGUCCCUGAAUAAUAUCUGCAUGAACCUCUUGAAUAUUGCUAAAAUAGAGAAACUACCUUAUUUAAGAAUUCUGUGUUAAUUGCAUGAACAUUAAACAAAUAUAUAUUUAUUUUACUGUUUUUUGUUUUGUUUUCCAAAGCACCUAAAAGCCAAUUCACACUGCCAUACACCAACAGGGUGAACACA
Long non-coding RNA from Onychostoma macrolepis, 5902 nucleotides. RefSeq lists it as uncharacterized. NCBI's taxonomy places the organism in Eukaryota, Metazoa, Chordata, Actinopteri, Cypriniformes, Cyprinidae. The record is from RefSeq and is a predicted model, not a curated record. The transcript is spliced from 4 exons.